This 484-nucleotide ribosomal RNA is filed under the name uncultured bacterium. RNAcentral describes it as "partial 16S ribosomal RNA". It matches the Rfam family "Bacterial small subunit ribosomal RNA", at positions 30 to 507 of the family's 1533-position model. The record is from RNAcentral.
AUUGAACGCUGGCGGCAGGCCUAACACAUGCAAGUCGAGCGGAUGAAGGGAGCUUGCUCCUGGAUUCAGCGGCGGACGGGUGAGUAAUGCCUAGGAAUCUGCCUGGUAGUGGGGGAUAACGUCCGGAAACGGGCGCUAAUACCGCAUACGUCCUGAUGGAGAAAGUGGGGGAUCUUCGGACAUCACGCUAUCAGAUGAGCCUAGGUCGGAUUAGCUAGUUGGUGGGGUAAAGGCCUACCAAGGCGACGAUCCGUAACUGGUCUGAGAGGAUGAUCAGUCACACUGGAACUGAGACACGGUCCAGACUCCUACGGGAGGCAGCAGUGGGGAAUAUUGGACAAUGGGCGAAAGCCUGAUCCAGCCAUGCCGCGUGUGUGAAGAAGGUCUUCGGAUUGUAAAGCACUUUAAGUUGGGAGGAAGAGCAGUAAGUUAAUACCUGGCUGUUUUGACGUUACCAACAGAAUAAGCACCGGCUAACUUCGUG